Long non-coding RNA from Mus spicilegus (steppe mouse), 1939 nucleotides. The record is from Ensembl. Lineage: Eukaryota; Metazoa; Chordata; Mammalia; Rodentia; Muridae.
ACAAAGCUUAAGCAACCAAGGGAAUGUUCUCAGCCAGUUGCUCUUACUGCAAUUUGUGGUUACAAAAAAAAAAAAGGAUCGAUUAUUCUAUUAUUUAUUUUUAAAAGUAAUCUCAUAAAAGAUCAAGAGAAUCACAAAUCUAAACUUUUAUAUAAAAAAUCAUUUCUAUUGUGAAUCCUCAGUGUGCACAUCUACUCAUCAAUAAUUUUUUAUUAAUUAUACCAGGAAGCCAAGGGCACAAAUAGGUAAAAGACAUUAAUCAUUGCCUUGAUUGUCAGCCCAGCUUUUUCAAAAGAGGUACGUCAUCUAGUGCUGGUCAGGCUACUGUUGUUCUUGUUCCUUGACCUUAAAACAUCCCCAGCUAAAUAAUUAAGAGUGUGCCUUUCUGGACUUCAAAUUGUUCCCUAAGAUUUUUCUACAUGGAAGCCACACGGAGGCACGCCCAUCAUGAUUGUGCUAAAUGGUGGGCCACAUUCCUUGAGUUCUAAAGCCAGUCCCUGUUCCUCUCACUUGGGCCUUGACAUCAGAAUGUAACUCAUUUCUAGAAUACAUUCUUCCCAUUUACAAUCAGAAUUUCUGAACAAUAACUACUUAAACAUUAUUCUCAAUAUAUUCUUAGAUUGGCUGCAUCAACAAACAGUCAAGUUCCCCAAAUCUACUAAGCCUGCUAGUGUCCCCUGUUCUCACGUUCAAACCCGAAAGCCUUCCGUGUGUGCUUUGACUUCUGCUCUAUUCCAGCCUCCCCGUUCCUGCUCAGCACAGCCUUCCCCAGUCCCUGUGGUUUCAAUCACUCUGCACACCCCUGCUGGAGUCCUCUUCCUAACACAUCCUUUGUAAUACUCUCAGAGAGAGCUAUCUCACAGUUCUUUGCUGCUGCACUGCCAGAUUUUUUACAAGAACACCCUUCAAAUCCAAGAUGGCAGGAAUGCAGGUCAGUGGUCAGGUGCUUAUCUACUGUGGGCAAGGCUGUGUGUUCAAAUCUCUAGCUCCACAGACAAAUAUAAAAACAAUACUACCCAAUUAUGACUAUUUUAAGUAUGUUAUAGAGUGCUCUAUACUAUGCCAGUAAGGGGGAGAUAAUUAUUCAUUUUUUCCUAUCAGUCACUCGUGAGACAUUUUGACAAUAUCUCCCCAUGCCAGGUACUAUACCAAGGAACGAAUACAAAGAGAUGCGACCCUUGCUUUCAGAGUGCUUAUGGGAACGUCAGACAAGUGCAUUGCAAAGGGAAAUUAAUGUCCAGGGGUUCUCGAGACAACCCAAAGAGAAGCUUGAAAGCUAACUGAAUGUUAGUACCCUUCUGGCUUUUGCAAUCCAGUGGUUCUUAGGAGUCACUAAGCUGUGAGUAAGAAACCACUAUUAUUAGUAAGAAAGGCCCCCGGAGAGAUCUGGGAGAGAGAUUGCAGCAGACUGAUGCUUCUUCAUAAGACAGUGCUAGGUCUAAGGACUAGCGUAGUCUCGCCUUUUGAGAACCUUGGCUAAGGAAAGGGCAGAUGGCAGUUAACAGGAUAGGACAAGAGAGAUGAAGUGUGGAAAGAGCUUUAUUUAUAAGAAGGAUUCUUAAACUUCUUUAUAUGCUGGAGGAACAUGGCUAAAUACAUACAAAAGGUUAAGAAUGAGGCCAGGGAGAGGGUGUUUGACAAAGCUAGAUAGUUACGCCAGGCUGUGGUGGCGAACACCUUCGAUCCCAAUACUCAGGAGGCAGAGGCAGGCAGAUUUCUGAGUUCGAGGCCAACCUGGUCUACAGAGUGAGUUCCAGUGCCACCAGGGCUAUAGAGAGAAACCCAGAGAGCUAGUUGAGAAGGGAGGAGAGAGAAUACAGAUAGAGGUGAGGAUCGUGAGGUAAAAAUAACCAUAGACAGAAGGUGACUUUGUGAUCGCAAGAAAAAAGAAAGAGAGAAGAAAAAUAAAAUAACAGGAAGUUGUAGGUGGUGGGAAAGU